RNAcentral lists this long non-coding RNA (812 nucleotides) under Ananas comosus (pineapple). Its description in RNAcentral is "long non-coding RNA (ACOM_LNC010124)". The record is from RNAcentral. Lineage: Eukaryota; Viridiplantae; Streptophyta; Magnoliopsida; Poales; Bromeliaceae.
CUUAGCCGAUUUUGGCCUUCUCUCGCUGGCGUCGCAAACGGGGACCAGUCCCCUCAACUAGGGACCGGUUGCAUCAAAGAUCCCCAGCAACCACCAGCCUCGGGGACCGGUCUCUCCCUGCCAGGGACCGGUCCCCGAGAGCAACUUCAGCCCAGUGCAGGUUUUGCACUAUAUGCUCUCGCGGACUCAACUCCAAUGCACUUUUUGUGUUUUGGAUAACUUUAGCUUUCCCGAAGGAUACUCACUCGACAAUUAGUCGAUCCUGGACAAAGUACAACUCCCGGAUUUCGAGAAUUCACUUCCUUACAUGUACUGUGCAGUUUGUUUAUAUAUAAUUGUGAAUGUGCAAUUGUGAAUUUUUGACUAGUACCGGGCAGUUUGUUUAUAUAUGAAUUGUGAAUUUGUUUAUAUAUAACUAUGAAUUUGUUUAUAUAUGUGACUGUCCAAUUGUGCAAAUUGUUACUGGUACUGGACAGUUUGUUUAUAUAUGAUUGUGAAUAUGCAAUUGUGAAUUUGUGACUUGUAUUGUACAUUUGUUUAUAUAUGAUUGAUGAUUUGUUUAUAUAUGACUGUAAAUUUGUUUAUAUAUGUGAUUGGUACUGGGCAGUUUGUUUAUAUAUGACUAUGAAUUUGUUUAUAUAUGAUUAUGAAUUGUAGCAAUUGUGGCUGGUACUGGGCAGUUUGUUUAUAUAUGAUUGUGAAUGUUAUAUGUUGUAUUGGAUGUUGUCAAGUAUUGAAUGUUAUAUGACUGUGAAUUUGUUACAGGGCAGUUUGUUUAUAGAAACACUGCAUUAUUUUGCGGAUGGUUCAUG